CCCAAUGAUCCCCCCACCCCCAGCACAUGCUCUAAGAGAGGACAAAAAAGUGCAAGAAGACCAUGGGCUUUGGGGCCAGACUGCCUGGAGUUGAAUCUGAGUUCCUCUUUAAAAACUGUUUGAACUUAGAUACCCACAAACAAUUUGCUGGAGCGGUAGAAUGAAAAUGGAUUAUUUCUGGAAAAAUACAAUGGAAAUGGAGAUUGCUACCCAUUUUAAAGAUUACCUUUUCAA
Molecule: long non-coding RNA, 234 nt
Organism: Lontra canadensis (Northern American river otter)
Lineage: Eukaryota; Metazoa; Chordata; Mammalia; Carnivora; Mustelidae
Exons: 3
Source: RefSeq, a predicted model, not a curated record